UAAGAUUAGCCCGUAUGACUGGACAAAUUUGCCCAAGAAAAGCACCGGUAAGUACUUAUAUCUGUUUCUUUUACCUACUCUUCAAUGACUGGACUAAUUUGCCCAAGAAAAGCACCAGUAAGUACUUAUAUCUGUUUCUUUUACCUACUCUUCCAAGAAAGGCUGCAUAAUGAAACUAGACUAUUUGGAAUAGGGGGAGAUAAGAGGAAAAAUGUCUCUGUAGGAUGUAUAAACUUCCAUGAAUCACUAACAACAACGACCCAGUGCAAUCCCAUAAAUGAGGUCUGGGGAGAGACCUUACCCCUAUGUUAUAAAGAUAGAGAGGUUGUUUCCGAUAGAUGCUCGGCUC
RNAcentral lists this long non-coding RNA (349 nucleotides) under Nicotiana benthamiana. RNAcentral's name for it is "long non-coding RNA (NBEN_LNC013676)". Lineage: Eukaryota; Viridiplantae; Streptophyta; Magnoliopsida; Solanales; Solanaceae. The record is from RNAcentral.